RNAcentral lists this ribosomal RNA (433 nucleotides) under uncultured bacterium. RNAcentral's name for it is "partial 16S ribosomal RNA". It matches the Rfam family "Bacterial small subunit ribosomal RNA", at positions 29 to 507 of the family's 1533-position model. The record is from RNAcentral.
AACGAACGCUGGCGGCAUGCCUAACACAUGCAAGUCGAACGAGACCUUCGGGUCUAGUGGCGCACGGGUGCGUAACGCGUGGGAACCUGCCCUUAGGUUCGGAAUAACUCCCCGAAAGGGGUGCUAAUACCGGAUAAUGUCUUCGGACCAAAGAUUUAUCGCCUUUGGAUGGGCCCGCGUUGGAUUAGCUAGUUGGUAGGGUAAAAGCCUACCAAGGCGACGAUCCAUAGCUGGUCUGAGAGGAUGAUCAGCCACACUGGGACUGAGACACGGCCCAGACUCCUACGGGAGGCAGAAGUGGGGAAUAUUGGACAAUGGGCGAAAGCCUGAUCCAGCAAUGCCGCGUGAGUGAUGAAGGCCUUAGGGUUGUAAAGCUCUUUUACCCGGGAUGAUAAUGACAGUACCGGGAGAAUGAGCGCCGGCUAACUCCGUG